This 378-nucleotide ribosomal RNA is filed under the name uncultured bacterium. RNAcentral describes it as "bacterial SSU rRNA". It matches the Rfam family "Bacterial small subunit ribosomal RNA", at positions 790 to 1167 of the family's 1533-position model. The record is from RNAcentral.
GUAGUCCACGCCGUAAACGAUGUCGACUUGGAGGUUGUGCCCUUGAGGCGUGGCUUCCGGAGCUAACGCGUUAAGUCGACCGCCUGGGGAGUACGGCCGCAAGGUUAAAACUCAAAUGAAUUGACGGGGGCCCGCACAAGCGGUGGAGCAUGUGGUUUAAUUCGAUGCAACGCGAAGAACCUUACCUACUCUUGACAUCCAGAGAACUUUCCAGAGAUGGAUUGGUGCCUUCGGGAACUCUGAGACAGGUGCUGCAUGGCUGUCGUCAGCUCGUGUUGUGAAAUGUUGGGUUAAGUCCCGCAACGAGCGCAACCCUUAUCCUUUGUUGCCAGCGGUCCGGCCGGGAACUCAAAGGAGACUGCCAGUGAUAAGCCGAGA